GCUUAACACAUGCAAGUCGAGGGGCAGCAUGACCUAGCAAUAGGUUGAUGGCGACCGGCGCACGGGUGAGUAACACGUAUCCAACCUACCGGUUAUUCCGGGAUAGCCUUUCGAAAGAAAGAUUAAUACCGGAUAGUAUAACGAGAAGGCAUCUUUUUGUUAUUAAAGAAUUUCGAUAACCGAUGGGGAUGCGUUCCAUUAGUUUGUUGGCGGGGUAACGGCCCACCAAGACAUCGAUGGAUAGGGGUUCUGAGAGGAAGGUCCCCCACAUUGGAACUGAGACACGGUCCAAACUCCUACGGGAGGCAGCAGUGAGGAGUAUUGGUCAAUGGACGAGAGUCUGAACCAGCCAAGUAGCGUGAAGGAUGACUGCCCUAUGGGUUGUAAACUUCUUUUAUAUGGGAAUAAAGUGAGCCACGUGUGGCUUUUUGUAUGUACCAUACGAAUAAGGAUCGGCUAACUCCGUGCCAGCAGCCGCGGUAAUACGGAGGAUCCGAGCGUUAUCCGGAUUUAUUGGGUUUAAAGGGAGCGUAGGCGGACUAUUAAGUCAGCUGUGAAAGUUUGCGGCUCAACCGUAAAAUUGCAGUUGAUACUGGUCGUCUUGAGUGCAGUAGAGGUAGGCGGAAUUCGUGGUGUAGCGGUGAAAUGCUU
This 651-nucleotide ribosomal RNA is filed under the name uncultured Bacteroidales bacterium. RNAcentral describes it as "bacterial SSU rRNA". It matches the Rfam family "Bacterial small subunit ribosomal RNA", at positions 46 to 691 of the family's 1533-position model. The record is from RNAcentral. Lineage: Bacteria; Pseudomonadati; Bacteroidota; Bacteroidia; Bacteroidales.